CCCUUUCUCGCAGACAUUAUGGAAGUUGCUAAAUUGGUCUCCUUGGAUCUAUGGAGCAGGGUGAGGGACUCAGCACAGGUGGACGUUUGGAAAUGAUUUGGGAAAAGGACCUGAUGGCAGCAGGGAUACCAGAGCAAUACAUUCACCGUGGACCUGAAAUGUUGUUCCAAUUACUGCCUUCAUUAUGGGUUUGUCAUCCCCAGUUUAAAUGCACGGCGGCCUGCAUUUCAUGCUGUGGCAGGAGAGGCCACUUGUUUUUUUUCAUGUAGUCUGAUAUCCGCUGCAGGCAAAUGCAGCUUAGUGUGGAGACAGCCACACAUAGGGGGCACUCCAUGUAAAAAUGUGAAUGAACUGAAACUAAAGAGGGACUACAUGAAAUGGGUUUUCAUUGUGAUGUCAGUUUUGGUCUAUCAGUAAUUGUAAUCUCAGGUCUUCAUUAUCAUCAUGUUUUAAAUCCAAAUUUAAUACGCAUGUCAUCCACUUGUGAAAUAAAAACUACUUUAAGUUGUUUUGUUUUGCUUUAGAACGGUUCCAUUUAAAGGUCUACAGACCUCUAUUUUGUUACUCUGUUACACAGUGUUCUCUCCUUCCUCUCAGGAAGAUUAAAUCACUUGUGUUACUCGGAAAUGCUCCAGGCAAUAAGGCAGGAUGGAGCACGUACAAAAGAACCUAACAUGGUUUGAAAGAGCAAGACAGAGAGUUAGACAGAAGGGAGUGUGUUGUGAUGUAACAUCAUUGUGGCGACUCUCUUGACUUAACACCAUUAACCAUCCAGUGUGAGAGUCCAGCUGUCUCUCUGAACCACUGAGGUGAGUUACCUGGGCUGACUUACCUGUCCUCCCAAUGCCCCCCAGGAUACAGUGUUUCAGCCAGGCCCCGUGUACUCCCCUCUCCACAGCACUUAGCAGUGAUUAACCCCGGAUUCGGCCAGCCCACCUGCCAUCUGACUACCAUUACAGCCCUGCUUAUCUGCCUCUCUAUCUCCCUACAAUAGGACCGGGGCCUGGGCUAGGCUGGGGGAUCGGGCUGGGGAGGGCUGCCUGCUCUGUUUAAUAAUAAAUCAUUAGCUAAACACUUUUGUCCAUUUGUGU
This is a long non-coding RNA of Etheostoma spectabile (orangethroat darter), 1091 nucleotides long. RefSeq lists it as uncharacterized. The record is from RefSeq and is a predicted model, not a curated record. The transcript has 2 exons. NCBI's taxonomy places the organism in Eukaryota, Metazoa, Chordata, Actinopteri, Perciformes, Percidae.